UGGGGAAUUUUGCGCAAUGGGCGAAAGCCUGACGCAGCAACGCCGCGUGGAGGAUGAAGGUCUUCGGAUUGUAAACUCCUGUCAGCAGGGAACAAAUACGCCGGGCUCAUACCCCGGCGGGUUGAGUGUACCUGCAGAGGAAGCCCCGGCUAACUCUGUGCCAGCAGCCGCGGUAAUACAGAGGGGGCAAGCGUUAUUCGGAAUUAUUGGGCGUAAAGGGCGCGUAGGCGGCUUCGCAAGUGGAUGGUGAAAUCCCUCGGCUCAACCGAGGAACUGCCGUCCAAACUGCGUGGCUUGAGUCCGGGAGAGGUGAGUGGAAUUCCCAGUGUAGCGGUGAAAUGCGUAGAUAUUGGGAGGAACACCAGUGGCGAAGGCGGCUCACUGGACCGGAACUGACGCUGAGGCGCGAAAGCGUGGGGAGCAAACGGG
This 429-nucleotide ribosomal RNA is filed under the name uncultured Acidobacteriota bacterium. Its description in RNAcentral is "bacterial SSU rRNA". It matches the Rfam family "Bacterial small subunit ribosomal RNA", at positions 355 to 776 of the family's 1533-position model. The record is from RNAcentral. Lineage: Bacteria; Pseudomonadati; Acidobacteriota.